GAUGAACGCUGGCGGCGUGCCUAAUACAUGCAAGUCGAGCGAACAGACGAGGAGCUUGCUCCUCUGACGUUAGCGGCGGACGGGUGAGUAACACGUGGAUAACCUACCUAUAAGACUGGGAUAACUUCGGGAAACCGGAGCUAAUACCGGAUAAUAUGUUGAAUCACAUGGUUCAACAGUGAAAGACGGUCUUGCUGUCACUUAUAGAUGGAUCCGCGCCGCAUUAGCUAGUUGGUAAGGUAACGGCUUACCAAGGCAACGAUGCGUAGCCGACCUGAGAGGGUGAUCGGCCACACUGGAACUGAGACACGGUCCAGACUCCUACGGGAGGCAGCAGUAGGGAAUCUUCCGCAAUGGGCGAAAGCCUGACGGAGCAACGCCGCGUGAGUGAAGAAGGUCUUCGGAUCGUAAAACUCUGUUAUUAGGGAAGAACAAAUGUGUAAGUAACUAUGCACGUCUUGACGGUACCUAAUCAGAAAGCCACGGCUAACUACGUG
This 497-nucleotide ribosomal RNA is filed under the name uncultured bacterium. RNAcentral's name for it is "partial 16S ribosomal RNA". It matches the Rfam family "Bacterial small subunit ribosomal RNA", at positions 28 to 507 of the family's 1533-position model. The record is from RNAcentral.